GACGAACGCUGGCGGCGUGCCUAAUACAUGCAAGUUGAGCGCUGAAGGUUGGUACUUGUACCAACUGGAUGAGCAGCGAACGGGUGAGUAACGCGUGGGAAUCUGCCUUUGAGCGGGGGACAACAUUUGGAAACGAAUGCUAAUACCGCAUAAAAACUUUAAACACAAGUUUUAAGUUUGAAAGAUGCAAUUGCAUCACUCAAAGAUGAUCCCGCGUUGUAUUAGCUAGUUGGUGAGGUAAAGGCUCACCAAGGCGAUGAUACAUAGCCGACCUGAGAGGGUGAUCGGCCACAUUGGGACUGAGACACGGCCCAAACUCCUACGGGAGGCAGCAGUAGGGAAUCUUCGGCAAUGGACGAAAGUCUGACCGAGCAACGCCGCGUGAGUGAAGAAGGGUUUCGGAUCGUAAAACUCUGUUGGUAGAGAAGAACGUUGGUGAGAGUGGAAAGCUCAUCAAGUGACGGUAACUACCCAGAAAGGGACGGCUAACUACGUG
RNAcentral lists this ribosomal RNA (496 nucleotides) under uncultured bacterium. RNAcentral's name for it is "partial 16S ribosomal RNA". It matches the Rfam family "Bacterial small subunit ribosomal RNA", at positions 28 to 507 of the family's 1533-position model. The record is from RNAcentral.